AAAGAAAAAAGAGGGGAUUAGAUCUGUUUUUUUUCUUUUUUUUUUUUUUUUUUACUUUUAUUUUUUUUUUUUUUUUUUCACAAAAUGUUUGUUCUUUAUUAUCUCAGAAAGUAAGGAAAAUCAAGAGGGAAAAAGGGGGUUAGAAAGGUCCUUGUCACUCUCUUUUUUCUUU
This 172-nucleotide non-coding RNA is filed under the name Rhodosorus marinus. Lineage: Eukaryota; Rhodophyta; Stylonematophyceae; Stylonematales; Stylonemataceae. The record is from RNAcentral.